GUUACAUAACUUCCAAUUUUCACUAUUAUCUAAUCAUCCGCUGUUUAUAUGGAUUAAUAAAUCCGAAGAGUGGCGUUAGCUGAACUACCCGAGGGAAAAGUGAAAAUAAAGUGAAAUUCUUGAAAGAAGCAAAGGGAUAGGAGUACUGGAAAAUCUUAAUACAGCCAAGCCGGCCAACCAAUCUACGGUAUCAACUACUAAAACAACCAAGCUGACCGUUUGGGAGUUAGUGCAGUGCACAUCCACGGCG
Drosophila pseudoobscura is the source of this 250-nucleotide long non-coding RNA. RefSeq lists it as uncharacterized. NCBI's taxonomy places the organism in Eukaryota, Metazoa, Arthropoda, Insecta, Diptera, Drosophilidae. The record is from RefSeq and is a predicted model, not a curated record. The transcript has 2 exons.